This 531-nucleotide ribosomal RNA is filed under the name uncultured bacterium. Its description in RNAcentral is "bacterial SSU rRNA". It matches the Rfam family "Bacterial small subunit ribosomal RNA", at positions 772 to 1294 of the family's 1533-position model. The record is from RNAcentral.
ACUCAAUAGAUACCCAGGUAGUCCUGGCCCUAAACGAUGUCUACUAGAUCGUGGCGGCACUGACGCCGUCAUGGUCGAAGCAAAAGUGUUAAGUAGACCGCCUGGGAAGUACGGUCGCAAGGCUAAAACUCAAAGAAAUUGACGGGGGCUCACACAAGCGGUGGAGCAUGUGGUUCAAUUCGAAGCAACGCGAAGAACCUUACCUGGGCUUGACAUGCUAGGAUUAUCUUGAUGAAAGUCGAGUAGGCCCCGCAAGGGGUACAACUAGUACAGGUGCUGCAUGGCUGUCGUCAGCUCGUGUCGUGAGAUGUCGGGUUAAGUCCCUUAACGAGCGAAACCUUUGCCCUUAGUUGCCAUCGGGUUAUGCCGGGCACUCUAAGGGGGACUGCCGGUGUCAAACCGGAGGAAGGUGGAGAUGACGUCAAGUCCUCAUGGCCUUUAUGCCCAGGGCUACACACGUGCUACAAUGGCGUCCACAAAGCGAGCCGAGAGCGCAAGCUGGAGGAAAUCGCAGAAAUGACGCCCCAGUUC